Molecule: ribosomal RNA, 253 nt
Filed under: uncultured bacterium
Lineage: Bacteria
Description: partial 16S ribosomal RNA
Rfam family: Bacterial small subunit ribosomal RNA
Source: RNAcentral
UACGGAGGGUGCGAGCGUUGUCCGGAAUCACUGGGCGUAAAGGGCGCGUAGGCGGCUUGAUAAGUAGGGGGUGAAAUCCUGCGGCUUAACCGCAGGGCUGCCUUCUAAACUGUCAGGCUUGAGCACAGUAGAGGCAGGUGGAAUUCCCGGUGUAGCGGUGGAAUGCGUAGAGAUCGGGAAGAACAUCAGUGGCGAAGGCGGCCUGCUGGGCUGUUGCUGACGCUGAGGCGCGACAGCGUGGGGAGCAAACAGG